Molecule: long non-coding RNA, 1991 nt
Filed under: Helianthus annuus (common sunflower)
Lineage: Eukaryota; Viridiplantae; Streptophyta; Magnoliopsida; Asterales; Asteraceae
Source: RNAcentral
CGCUAGGGUUCAAGAAUCUUCAUCUGGUUACCCAAGAAAUGUGGACCAUACCUUUGGGAAUCUCAGUCUCUCCCAAUUUCAACAAGUUGCCACUUUUCUCUCCUUCAUCUGAUUGUUGUUUUGUUUCCAUGUGUUGACGAUUUUCGCAGAUGGGAUUUUUGUUUCCAUGGUGGCACUGUGGUUUUGCAGAUUGAAAACGUGAAAGCUUAAUUGAAUACAGCCGUGUUCCUCUGCAAUAAUCAUAUCUUCAGACGCCACCAUCGAAUCUUUUUUUGUUCAUCGAUUAUCGUCAAGAAAUUGUGGAUCUGUGAGAUUCAUUUUUCAAAUAUCGAUGAUCUGUUGAUGCUUUUGGUUACUUGAACGACUUUUGAAGAGGUUUAUUGUAAAUGUGAGCUUAUGUGACCGACAAUACGACAUGUAUUCUUAUCUGCAAAAGUAGUGGCAGAGGAGACUUUCUGACAAACAAAUGUCGUCUGCCCAAAGAGGCAUAGGGCUAUACGGAAGCUACAAAGCAAAUUGAAGGCGACAGAGGACAAUUCAAAUAUCGUCUCCUUCAGGAACAUGCCAGAUAAGUACCGUUAGUUACUAUGGUUGGGAAUGACACAAGUCUUACAUAUUCUUACUUUUUGAUACUAAUGGCUUUGCUAUAAGCUUCUGUUGCUUGCAGAAAGAUAUUAGUAAUCAAUGGGUGUUUGUGGGUUAUCUUGAAGAUGCAAUCAUCAUAGAAGUUUAAUCCAACUUCAUCUAUCUUUCAUUACGUGUUUUAAAAUUUUUAGAGAAUCCCGACGAUAUCAAAGCUGCUCGGUAAAUUAUCGAAGAGAAUCAGAGUUGUUGAAGAUAAGAUUAUGAGAAAAUCUCGAAGUGUCUCUUUUUGACCCGUGUUACAGAGAAUUUCAUGUGUUAAUGCCUGGGAAAAAGUAGUAUAGAUGUUCAAAAGACACCCAGAGGGUUAAUUUUCAGGCAAAGAUGGAACAAUUAACAGCUUUUCACAACUUCAUCUUUCCUACUUACUGUCUAUUCCGACUACUUGACUUCGGCACAGUCACCCCACCUGAGCUGCUAGCGUUUGGCAAAUCUCAGGUGGAUUAUAUACUUGGAUACGGCCCAAGAGCAAUAAGUUACAUGGAUGGAUACCGAAGCACUACCCACAAAAAGUACACAUUGUAAGAAUAAUGAGUGUGUUAAAGUGGGCUGUUAUGAAAGAGUAUCGGAUGGGCGCUAUUUGGGUUUUAAAUAAUCUAGGACACUAAUCAUUUGAAAACAUAAUAGAGUGACCCGUUUUAGUUCGAGCAACUUUUUGUUAUUUGACAUGUUUGUCAUCCUUAUUUGUAUGAACAAGAUUUUGUAUAAAUAUCUCUAUAUGAUUGUGCAAUUUUGACCAGAUUUAGGAUUGUUUCAGACUUUUUGGGAACCCAGUUUGCAGUAAUACCCUUAAGCAGACUCAGUAUUCCGACUCAGACAAUCUAUCUGACUAUCUCGGGAUAUUCUACAAGCUUCCCAGAUUUUGGGACCAAACCGUGUCGGUCUGAUCGAAAACCGAGUUCUCUAAGAUGUGACUGUGUUUAUCCAUAUGAAGGCAAUCUGUUCUUUCGAGCACCAUCUUUUCAGGUUUUAACUAAAGAUACAUUGUGGCAUUCACUAGAAUCCGACCUUUGGACAAAACGGUGCCUCACUCCGGGCUUACUCUCCAAAACACGUUCUUUGACAUCACAAUUAUCUUCAAAUGCAUGUGCAGUUCUUUCCAUCAAAAAGCAAGCAUUUUACAAUACUGGAGGUCCGGAAAAUGAGGUUUUGCUAACUUGGAAAGGAACCUGGUGAGUUGGCUGAAGCAAGAAACAAAUAGUAUUUGACUAUUAUUUUCUAUUUUGUUUUUAUUAUAUUAGGAUUGCUUGAUUGUGGUAACUUGAAAUUUAAGUCUGAUUGUGUUGCCUGCCCUUGAAUAUAGCAUUCUAACCUAUAUGUAUGCUCGUGUGCAUGUGCGCUUGCAAACC